This 999-nucleotide ribosomal RNA is filed under the name Lysinibacillus pakistanensis. Its description in RNAcentral is "bacterial SSU rRNA". It matches the Rfam family "Bacterial small subunit ribosomal RNA", at positions 75 to 1055 of the family's 1533-position model. Lineage: Bacteria; Bacillati; Bacillota; Bacilli; Caryophanales; Bacillaceae. The record is from RNAcentral.
GGAGCUUGCUCCUUUGACGUUAGCGGCGGACGGGUGAGUAACACGUGGGCAACCUACCCUAUAGUUUGGGAUAACUCCGGGAAACCGGGGCUAAUACCGAAUAAUCUAUUUCACCUCAUGGUGAAAUACUGAAAGACGGUUUCGGCUGUCGCUAUAGGAUGGGCCCGCGGCGCAUUAGCUAGUUGGUGAGGUAAUGGCUCACCAAGGCGACGAUGCGUAGCCGACCUGAGAGGGUGAUCGGCCACACUGGGACUGAGACACGGCCCAAACUCCUACGGGAGGCAGCAGUAGGGAAUCCUCCACAAUGGGCGAAAGCCUGAUGGAGCAACGCCGCGUGAGUGAAGAAGGUUUUCGGAUCGUAAAACUCUGUUGUAAGGGAAGAACAAGUACAGUAGUAACUGGCUGUACCUUGACGGUACCUUAUUAAAAAGCCACGGCUAACUACGUGCCAACAGCCGCGGUAAUACGUAGGUGGCAAGCGUUGUCCGGAAUUAUUGGGCGUAAAGCGCGCGCAGGCGGUCCUUUAAUUCUGAUGUGAAAGCCCACGGCUCAACCGUGGAGGGUCAUUGGAAACUGGGGGACUUGAGUGCAGAAGAGGAAAGUGGAAUUCCAAGUGUAGCGGUGAAAUGCGUAGAGAUUUGGAGGAACACCAGUGGCGAAGGCGACUUUCUGGUCUGUAACUGACGCUGAGGCGCGAAAGCGUGGGGAGCAAACGGGAUUAGAUACCCUGGUAGUCCACGCCGUAAACGAUGAGUGCUAAGUGUUAGGGGGUUUCCGCCCCUUAGUGCUGCAGCUAACGCAUUAAGCACUCCGCCUGGGGAGUACGGUCGCAAGACUGAAACUCAAAGGAAUUGACGGGGGCCCGCACAAGCGGUGGAGCAUGUGGUUUAAUUCGAAGCAACGCGAAAAACCUUACCAGGUCUUGACAUCCCGUUGACCACUGUAGAGAUAUAGUUUCCCCUUCGGGGGCAACGGUGACAGGUGGUGCAUGGUUGUCGU